This 423-nucleotide ribosomal RNA is filed under the name uncultured Streptococcus sp. Its description in RNAcentral is "bacterial SSU rRNA". It matches the Rfam family "Bacterial small subunit ribosomal RNA", at positions 956 to 1382 of the family's 1533-position model. Lineage: Bacteria; Bacillati; Bacillota; Bacilli; Lactobacillales; Streptococcaceae. The record is from RNAcentral.
GCAACGCGAAGAACCUUACCAGGUCUUGACAUCCCGAUGCUAUUCUAGAGAUAGAAAGUACUUCGGUACAUCGGUGACAGGUGGUGCAUGGUUGUCGUCAGCUCGUGUCGUGAGAUGUUGGGUUAAGUCCCGCAACGAGCGCAACCCCUAUUGUUAGUUGCCAUCAUUCAGUUGGGCACUCUAGCGAGACUGCCGGUAAUAAACCGGAGGAAGGUGGGGAUGACGUCAAAUCAUCAUGCCCCUUAUGACCUGGGCUACACACGUGCUACAAUGGUUGGUACAACGAGUUGCGAGUCGGUGACGGCGAGCUAAUCUCUUAAAGCCAAUCUCAGUUCGGAUUGUAGGCUGCAACUCGCCUACAUGAAGUCGGAAUCGCUAGUAAUCGCGGAUCAGCACGCCGCGGUGAAUACGUUCCCGGGCCUU